RNAcentral lists this ribosomal RNA (253 nucleotides) under uncultured bacterium. RNAcentral's name for it is "partial 16S ribosomal RNA". It matches the Rfam family "Bacterial small subunit ribosomal RNA", at positions 524 to 776 of the family's 1533-position model. The record is from RNAcentral.
UACAGAGGUCUCAAGCGUUGUUCGGAUUCAUUGGGCGUAAAGCGCGUGUAGGCGGCGUGACAAGUCGGGUGUGAAAGCCCUCAGCUCAACUGAGGAAGUGCGCCCGAAACUGUCGUGCUUGAGUGCCGGAGAGGGUGGCGGAAUUCCCCAAGUAGAGGUGAAAUUCGUAGAUAUGGGGAGGAACACCGGUGGCGAAGGCGGCCACCUGGACGGUAACUGACGCUGAGACGCGAAAGCGUGGGGAGCAAACAGG